AGCAGCCGCGGUAAUUCCAGCUCCAAUAGCGUAUAUUAAAGUUGUUGCAGUUAAAAAGCUCGUAGUUGAACUUCGGGAUCAAUUAGGUGGUCAUGCCUUGGUAUGUACUGAUUUUAUUGGUUCUCACCUUCUAAAGAACUAUAAUGUCAUUUAUUUGAUGUUAUAGGGAAUUAGGAUUGUUACCUUGAAAAAUUAGAGUGUUUAAAGCAGGCUCACGCUUGAAUACAUUAGCAUGGAAUAAUGAAAUAGGACAUCGCAUUCUAUUUUGUUGGUUUCUAGGAUCGAUGUAAUGAUUAAUAGGGAUAGUUGGGGGCAUUAGUAUUCAAUUGUCAGAGGUGAAAUUCUUGGAUUUAUUGAAGACUAACUACUGCGAAAGCAUUUGCCAAGGAUGUUUUCAUUAAUCAAGAACGAAAGUUAGGGGAUCGAAGACGAUCAGAUACCGUCGUAGUCUUAACCAUAAACUAUGCCGACUAGGGAUCGGAUGAUGUUGAUUUUUAAUGA
Molecule: ribosomal RNA, 501 nt
Filed under: uncultured Glomus
Lineage: Eukaryota; Fungi; Glomeromycota; Glomeromycetes; Glomerales; Glomeraceae
Description: SSU rRNA
Rfam family: Eukaryotic small subunit ribosomal RNA
Source: RNAcentral